Molecule: long non-coding RNA, 15457 nt
Filed under: Selaginella moellendorffii
Lineage: Eukaryota; Viridiplantae; Streptophyta; Lycopodiopsida; Selaginellales; Selaginellaceae
Description: long non-coding RNA (SMOE_LNC000745)
Source: RNAcentral
GUUCCGCCAGAUCGUUCCAUUGAAAAGUACAUCACUUACGUAGACGGCUUGUCACCACUGCCAAUCUGGGGCCUCCCGCGCGACCUUUCUGCCAUUGACGAAUCAAGAUUCGCUGGCAGAUACGCUAGAGCCAAGAGCUUCGCCACAACGUCGUGGGUUUUGGUCAACUCGUUCGAAGAACUCGAGGGCAGUGCCACCUUCCAAGCCCUCCGAGACAUCUCUCCCAAAGCAAUCGCUGUGGGUCCUCUUUUCACCAUGGCCCCCGGCUGCAACAAGGCAAGCUUGUGGAAGGAAGACACCGAGAGUUUAUCCUGGCUCGGCAAGCAAAGUCCCGGCUCGGUUCUCUACAUUUCCUUGGGCACCAUCGCGACUCUCAGCUUCGAUCAGUUCAAGGAGUUCUCCGAGGGACUGAGGCUUCUCCAGCGUCCGUUUAUCUGGGCCAUCCGACCCAAGUCGGUCGCCGGCAUGGAGCCCGAGUUCCUGGAGCGUUUCAAGGAGGCCGUGAGGAGCUUUGGACUGGUUGUGAGCCGGGCUCCUCAGGUGGACAUCCUCCGCCACCCUUCCACGGCUGGAUUUCUCAGUCACUGCGGCUGGAACUCCAUCCUCGAGAGCGUAGCAUCCGCGGUGCCCAUGCUUUGCUGGCCGUGCGUCGCGGAGCAGAAUCUAAACUGCAAGUUGAUAGUGGAGGACUGGAAGAUCGGUCUCAAGUUCUCGUGCGUGACCAUGCCGGAUCCUCCCGAGGUGAUGGCGAGGGACGAGUUUGUGGAGGUGGUGGAGCGAUUCAUGGGAACUGACAGUGAGCAUUUGAGGAUUAACGUGAAGAAGCUGAGCGAGGAGGCUCGUAGAGCAGUGUCUAGUGGUGGCUCCUCAUAUGAAAACCUGGAGAGAUUUGCUCAAGCAGUGAAAAUUUCCUAAACUUCAAUCCAAAGCUAAGAGAAAACUUCAAAGCAUCUACUCUAUUCAAGAAUAUACUACAGUUCUUUCUCUCUCUCUCUGAAGAUAAGCACGCGCUUUGCGCGUAUAAUGGGUUCCAAGGUCAAUGUUGUCGCAAUUCCUCUCCCAGCUCAAGGCCACAUCUCUCCACUCUUGCAUCUCUGCCAAGCUCUCACUUUCAUCCUUUGGGGGAUGCUAUCUCCGAAACACACAACCAUGAGGGAAUGUGCUGGACUUUGUCACGUGCAAGAACCCAUGGCCAAUGUGCUAGUGUAGACUCCAAGGUGAUGCCUUAUGUCAGAAACUGAUGCAAAAAGAAGAAACUAAAGAAAAACAAAAAAAAUAAUAAUAAGAAGAAAGAGAGUGUAAAGUUCUGGAGUCAAAAGGGAACCAUAUGAGGAAAUUUGAUAAAAGAACUAAACACUAAAAAAUGGAAAAACAAAAAGUGAAAAAAACUAAAGAGCAAGGAACAGCUUAAAGAAGAGCUCUAGAGGCCAGUUAUAAUGGCCAUUUGUCUCAAGUUGGUCCCUGGCAUAGAGCCUGAGUUCCUGGAGGCUUUCAAGGCUCUCCUUGAAAGUGAUCAGCUUUGGACUGGUUGUGAGCUGGGCUCCUCAACCGGAAAUCCUCCAGCAUCCUUCCACAGGCUGCGAGAGUGUAUCUUCAGCAGUGCCAAUCCUUUGCUGGUCAUGAGUUGCCGAGCAGAAUCUCAACUGCAAGCUUAUAGUGGAAAACUGGAAGAUCGAUCUUAAGUUCUCACCCAUGAGAGAUCCUUGCAAGGUGGUGGCAGGGAUGAGUUUGUGGAGGUGGUGGAGCAACUCAUGGGAGCUGAGAGUGGCGAUUCCUUUAGAUGUAAUGUGAAGGAGCUCAGCGAGGCUGCUCAGGGAGCAACAGUGAAAGAAGUCAAGAUCUUCAUAUGAAAGUUUGGACAAGUUUGUCAAGUUUCAUAAGGUAAUUUAUAUCCAAUGCCGCAGCUGGUGGCAGGACGAUCAUCGGGCAUGAGGGCGGGGCCAAUGCACAGACAGACCAACCACCAAGAGCACAUAAAGAUGAUACUUGAAAGUGUAUAGGUUGGUGGAAGUGUUAUUUUCCUUCCCAAAGAAAUAGAUGGCGUAAUCAAGAGGAGUAAAACAUUCCUGAAGGAGAACACUAGAUUAAAACCUUUGCAAAACGCACUGAUUCUUAAGCUCAGCCUUGGAGCGAUUUCAAGCUUAUCCAGAAAAGGUAUUGUGAGAAACGGCAGCACCUUCCAGAGCACUCACGAAGUAAGCUUGAAUUUUCUUUGUUCUUCGUCAAUGGGUUCUUCUACUGGUGCCGAGGGGCUCGCUCCUCACGCAGCGGUUCUUCCCAUUCCAACGCUACGCCACAUCACUCCAUUCCUCCAUCUCUCCAGAGCUCUGGCCUCGCGAGGCUUCGUCAUAACUUUCAUCAACACGGAGGGCAACCACAGGGACCUGAAGGACAUCGUUUCACAGGAGGAGAGCUUUGGCUAUGGCGGCGGCAUUCGCUUCGAGACGGUCCCGGGCAUCCAAGCGAGCGACGUCGACUUCGCGGUCCCGGAGAAGCGGGGGAUGUUCUCCGAGGCAGUGAUGGAGAUGCAGGCUCCAGUGGAAAGCUUGCUCAUCAGGAACAUGGCCAGAGACGAUGAUCUCGUUCCUCCGGUCUCGUGCUUCAUCUCGGAUAUGUUCCCGUGGUCCGCGGAAGUAGCAAGAAGGACUGGAAUCCCAGAGGUCAAGUUCUGGAUCGCCAGUGCCUCUUGCGUUUUGCUCGAUUGCUCGUUUCCGCGAAUGCUGGAGAAGGGAGACGUUCCAGUCCAAGGUAAAGCUUCUUUCUUCUUUUUUAUUUGUCCUUCUUUCGAGAAGCACUAACGUGUUCCGCCAGAUCGUUCCAUUGAAAAGUACAUCACUUACGUAGACGGCUUGUCACCACUGCCAAUCUGGGGCCUCCCGCGCGACCUUUCUGCCAUUGACGAAUCAAGAUUCGCUGGCAGAUACGCUAGAGCCAAGAGCUUCGCCACAACGUCGUGGGUUUUGGUCAACUCGUUCGAAGAACUCGAGGGCAGUGCCACCUUCCAAGCCCUCCGAGACAUCUCUCCCAAAGCAAUCGCUGUGGGUCCUCUUUUCACCAUGGCCCCCGGCUGCAACAAGGCAAGCUUGUGGAAGGAAGACACCGAGAGUUUAUCCUGGCUCGGCAAGCAAAGUCCCGGCUCGGUUCUCUACAUUUCCUUGGGCACCAUCGCGACUCUCAGCUUCGAUCAGUUCAAGGAGUUCUCCGAGGGACUGAGGCUUCUCCAGCGUCCGUUUAUCUGGGCCAUCCGACCCAAGUCGGUCGCCGGCAUGGAGCCCGAGUUCCUGGAGCGUUUCAAGGAGGCCGUGAGGAGCUUUGGACUGGUUGUGAGCCGGGCUCCUCAGGUGGACAUCCUCCGCCACCCUUCCACGGCUGGAUUUCUCAGUCACUGCGGCUGGAACUCCAUCCUCGAGAGCGUAGCAUCCGCGGUGCCCAUGCUUUGCUGGCCGUGCGUCGCGGAGCAGAAUCUAAACUGCAAGUUGAUAGUGGAGGACUGGAAGAUCGGUCUCAAGUUCUCGUGCGUGACCAUGCCGGAUCCUCCCGAGGUGAUGGCGAGGGACGAGUUUGUGGAGGUGGUGGAGCGAUUCAUGGGAACUGACAGUGAGCAUUUGAGGAUUAACGUGAAGAAGCUGAGCGAGGAGGCUCGUAGAGCAGUGUCUAGUGGUGGCUCCUCAUAUGAAAACCUGGAGAGAUUUGCUCAAGCAGUGAAAAUUUCCUAAACUUCAAUCCAAAGCUAAGAGAAAACUUCAAAGCAUCUACUCUAUUCAAGAAUAUACUACAGUUCUUUCUCUCUUUCUCUGAAGAUAAGCACGCGCUUUGCGCGUAUAAUGGGUUCCAAGGUCAAUGUUGUCGCAAUUCCUCUCCCAGCUCAAGGCCACAUCUCUCCACUCUUGCAUCUCUGCCAAGCUCUCACUUUCAUCCUUUGGGGGAUGCUAUCUCCAAAACACACAACCAUGAGGGAAUGUGCUGGACUUUGUCACGUGCAAGAACCCAUGGCCAAUGUGCUAGUGUAGACUCCAAGGUGAUGCCUUAUGUCAGAAACUGAUGCAAAAAGAAGAAACUAAAGAAAAACAAAAAAAAUAAUAAUAAGAAGAAAGAGAGUGUAAAGUUCUGGAGUCAAAAGGGAACCAUAUGAGGAAAUUUGAUAAAAGAACUAAACACUAAAAAAUGGAAAAACAAAAAGUGAAAAAAACUAAAGAGCAAGGAACAGCUUAAAGAAGAGCUCUAGAGGCCAGUUAUAAUGGCCAUUUGUCUCAAGUUGGUCCCUGGCAUAGAGCCUGAGUUCCUGGAGGCUUUCAAGGCUCUCCUUGAAAGUGAUCAGCUUUGGACUGGUUGUGAGCUGGGCUCCUCAACCGGAAAUCCUCCAGCAUCCUUCCACAGGCUGCGAGAGUGUAUCUUCAGCAGUGCCAAUCCUUUGCUGGUCAUGAGUUGCCGAGCAGAAUCUCAACUGCAAGCUUAUAGUGGAAAACUGGAAGAUCGAUCUUAAGUUCUCACCCAUGAGAGAUCCUUGCAAGGUGGUGGCAGGGACGAGUUUGUGGAGGUGGUGGAGCAGCUCAUGGGAGCUGAGAAUGGCGAUUCCUUUAGAUGUAAUGUGAAGGAGCUCAGCGAGGCUGCUCAGGGAGCAACAGUGAAAGAAGGCAGGAUCUUCAUAUGAAAGUUUGGACAAGUUCGUCAAGUUUCAUAAGGUAAUUUAUAUCCAAUGCCGCAGCUGGUGGCAGGACGAUCAUCGGGUAUGAGGGCGGGGCCAAUGCACAGACAGACCAACCACCAAGAGCACAUAAAGAUGAUACUUGAAAGUGUAUAGGUUGGUGGAAGUGUUAUUUUCCUUCCCAAAGAAAUAGAUGGCAUAAUCAAGAGGACUAAAAAAUUCCUGAAGGAGAACACUAGAAUAAAACCUUUGCAAAACGCACUGAUUCUUAAGCUCAGCCUUGGAGCCAGAAAGAAACGGCAGCACCUUCAUGAAGUAAGCUUGAAUUUCCUUUGUUCUUCGUCAAUGGGUUCUUCUACUGGUGCCGAGGGGCUCGCUCCUCACGCAGCGGUUCUUCCCAUUCCAACUCUAGGCCACAUCACUCCAUUCCUCCAUCUCUCUAGAGCUCUGGCCUCGCGAGGCUUCGUCAUAACUUUUAUCAACACGGAGGGCAACCACAGGGACUUGAAGGACAUCGUUUCACAGGAGGAGAGCUUUGGCUCUGGUGGCAGCAUUCGUUUCGAGACGGUCCCCGGGGUCCAAACGAGCGAGGCCGACUUCACGGCCCCGGAGACGCGGCCAAUGUUCUUCGAGGCAUUGAUGGCGAUGCAGGGUCCAGUGGAGAGCUUGCUCGUCAGGAGCAUGGCAAGAGACGAUGAUCUCGUUCCUCCGGUCUCAUGCUUCAUCUCGGAUAUGUUGUUCCCGUGGUCCACGGAAGUACCCAGAAGGAUCGGAAUCCCAGAGGUCAAGUUCUGGGUCGCCAGUGCUUCUUGCGUUUUGCUCUACUCCUCGUAUCCCCAAAUGCUGGAGAAGGGAGACAUUCCAGUCCAAGGUAAAGCUGCUUUCUUCUUUUUUAUUUUUCCUUCUUUCGAGAAGCACUGACGUCCAUAUACGUGUUCCACCAGAUCGUUCCAUUGAGAAGCGCAUAACUUACGUAGACGGCUUGUCACCACUACCAAUGUGGAGCCUCCCGGGCGACUUUUCUGCCAGUGACGACGACCCGGGAUUCGCUCGCGGAUACGCCAGAGCCAAGAGCUUCGCCACAACGUCGUGGGUUUUGGUCAACUCGUUCGAAGAACUCGAGGGCAGUGCCACCUUCCAAGCUCUCCGAGACAUCUCUCCCAAAGCAAUCGCAGUGGGUCCACUUUCCACCAUGGUCCCCGGCUCCAGCAAUGCAAGCUUGUGGACGGAAGACACCGAGAGUUUAUCCUGGCUCGGCAAGCAAAGUCCCGGCUCGGUUCUCUACAUUUCCUUGGGCACCAUCGCGACUCUCAGCUUCGAUCAGUUCAAGGAGUUCUCCGAGGGACUGAGGCUUCUCCAGCGUCCGUUUAUCUGGGCCAUCCGACCCAAGUCGGUCGCCGGUAUGGAGCCCGAGUUCCUGGAGCGUUUCAAGGAGACCGUGAGGAGCUUUGGACUGGUUGUGAGCUGGGCUCCUCAGGUGGACAUCCUCCGCCACCCUUCCACGGCUGGAUUUCUCAGUCACUGCGGCUGGAACUCCAUCCUCGAGAGCGUAGCAUCCGCGGUGCCCAUGCUUUGCUGGCCGUGCGUCGCGGAGCAGAAUCUAAACUGCAAGCUAAUAGUGGAGGACUGGAAGAUCGGUCUCAAGUUCUCGCGCGUGGCCAUGCCGGAUCCUCACGAGGUGGGGGUAGCGAGGGACGAGUUUGUGGAGGUGGUGGUAGCGAGGGACGAGUUUGUGGAGGUGGUGGAGCGAUUCAUGGGUGCUGACAGUGAGCAUUUGAGGAUUAACAUCAAGAAGCUGAGCGAGGAGGCUCGUAGAGCAGUGUCUAGAGGUGGCUCCUCGUAUGAAAACCUGGAGAGAUUUGCUCAAGCAGUGAAAACUUCCUAAACUUUGAUCCAAAGUCAACUCUAUUCAAGAAUAUACUACCCUCGAUAUACUUCUUUCUCUCUCUCUCUCAAGAUUGGAUUGGAAAGACGAGAUAAGCACGCGCGUUGCGCGUAUAAUGGGUUCCAAGAUCACACCUCAUGUUGUCGCCGUUCCUCUCCCAGCUCAAGGCCACAUCUCUCCACUCUUGCAUCUCUGCCAAGCUCUCGCUUCUCAUGGAUCCAUCCUCAUCACUUUCGUCAACACGGAGGCCAAUCAAGACAGCAUCAAGGAAAUGCUGGGAGAUGGCGUCGAGGGCAUUCGCUUCGAGACCUUCCCCGGGCUGGAGGCGGCUUACCACGGCCUCGACUUGACCCAGCUCGAGAAUCGCCAGAUCUUCUACCGGGCUAUGGUCGACAUGGAAGCGCCAGUGGAGAGGCUGCUACGAGAGAAGAUCAUCGCCAAGGGCCCCCCUGUUUCGUGCAUCGUCUCCGAGUUGUUCCCCUGGAUGAGAGAUCUGGCGGCCAGAAUCGGAGUUCCAAGCGUUUACUUCUGGCCUACGAGUGCUGCUUGUGUUCUUCUGGAUUUUUCCAUUCCCUUGCUCUUGGAGAGAGGAGACAUACCCGUCGAAGGUAUGAUUAUCAACCAUGGUUCCUUACUUAUUUUCUUUUCCAUGGUUUCUUCCAGAUUUCUCUAUGGACAAAUCCAUCGAGUACGUGCGUGGCUUGUCACCAUUGCCUGUGUGGAGUCUUCCCCGGGUUUUUGCUUUCAGGGAUGAUCCAAGUUUCACUCGCAGGUACGAGAGGCUAAAAAACAUCCCCCAGAAUUCUUGGUUCCUGGCCAACACUUUCGAGGAGCUCGAAGGUGGCGCGCUUGAGGCCGUGAGAGAUUACAUCCCAAGGAUAAUACCCAUAGGUCCCGCGUUUCUAUCUUCACCAUCCAUGAAAAAUGCAAGCCUCUGGAAGGAAGACAACGAGUGCUUAGCAUGGCUCAACGAGCAAGAAGAAGGAUCCGUGCUCUACAUAGCUUUUGGUAGCAUCGCCACCCUGAGCUUGGAACAAGCUAAAGAGAUAGCAGCAGGGCUGGAAGAACUCCAGAGGCCAUUUCUAUGGGGGAUUCGUCCAAAGUCUGUGCCGGGUAUGGAGCCCGAGUUUCUGGAACCGUUCAAAGAGAGAGUAAGAAGUUUUGGGCGAGUUAUAACUUGGGCUCCCCAGCGAGAAGUUCUCCAGCAUGCUUCUAUUGGGGGAUUUUUCACUCACUGUGGAUGGAAUUCUGUGCUGGAAAGCAUGGCUGCUGGUGUGCCUAUGAUCUGCCACCCUUGCGUUGCGGAACAAAAUCUGAAUUGCAAGUUGGUGGUGGAAGAUUGGAAGAUUGGAUUGCGAUAUUCCAAUGUGGGAUCUGGGAAGCUUGUGGUGAGGGAUGAAUUUCAAAAGGUGGUGAAGAAAUUGAUGGAAGAUGACAAUGGUAUUGCGCAAUACAUGAGGAGUAAUGCAAAGAAGCUGAGUGAAGAAGCUAGAAAAGCAGUGUGUGUGGGGGGCUCUUCAUACCAAAAUCUGGAAAAUUUUAUCUUGUCACUAAAAUAAUAAUUUUAUUCCAAUAGUUUGCUUAAUUUAUGUAUGUAAGAAAGUCUUCAUUACUUCGGCAAAUCUCUCCAGGUUUUCAUACGAGGAGCCACCUCUAGACACAGCUCUAUGAGCCUCCUCGCUCAGCUUCUUCACGUUAAUCCUCAAAUGCUCACUGUCAGCUCCCAUGAAUCGCUCCACCACCUCCACAAACUCGUCCCUCGCCACCACCACGUCGCGAGGAUCCGACCUCGUCAUGUUCGAGAACUUGAGACCGAUCUUCCAGUCCUCCACCACUAGCUUGCAGUUUAGAUUCUGCUCCGCGACGCACGGCCAGCAAAGCAUGGGCACCGCGGAUGCUACGCUCUCGAGGAUGGAGUUCCAGCCGCAGUGACUGAGAAAUCCAGCCGUGGAAGGGUGGCGGAGGAUGUCCACCUGAGGAGCCCAGCUCACAACCAGUCCAAAGCUCCUCACGGUCUCCUUGAAACACUCCAGGAACUCGGGCUCCAUGCCGGUGACCGACUUGGGUCGGAUGGCCCAGAUAAACGGACGCUGGAGAAGCCUCAGUCCCUCGGAGAACUCCUUGAACUGAUCGAAGCUGAGAGUCGCGAUGGUGCCCAAGGAAAUGUAGAGAACCGAGCCGGGACUUUGCUUGCCGAGCCAGGAUAAACUCUCGCUGUCUUCCUCCCACAGGGCACUGUUGCGUGGUUCGGAGCCGGGGAUCAUGGUGAAAACAGGACCCACUGCGAUUGUUCUGGGAGAGAUGUCUCGGAAAGCUUGGAAUGCGGCACUGCCCUCGAGUUCUUCGAACGAGUUUAUCAAAACCCACGAGGUUGUGGCGAAGAUCUUGGCUCUAGCGCACUUGCCAGCGAAUCCCGGGUCGUCGUCAUUGGCAGAAAAGUCGCCCGGGAGGCUCCACAUUGGUAGUGGUGACAAGCCGUCUACGUAAGUUAUGCACUUCUCAAUGGAACGAUCUGGCGGAAGACGUUAGAGCUUCUCGAAAGAAGGAAAGGGAAAAAAAGAAAGAUACCUUGGACUGGAAUGUCUCCCUUCUCCAACAUUUGCGGAACCGCGCACUCGAGCAAAACGCAAGAGGCACUGGCAGUCCAGAACUUGACCUCUGGGAUUCCAAUCCUUCUUGUUACUUCCGCGGACCACGGGAAGAACAUAUCCGAGAUGAAGCACGAGACCGGAGGAACGAGAUCAUCGUCUCUGGCCAUGUUCCUGAUGAGCAAGCUCUCCACUGGAGCCUGCAUCUCCAUCACUGCCUCGGAGAACAUCCGCCGCUUCUCCGGGACCGCCAAGUCGACGUCGCUUGCUUGGAUGCCCGGGACCGUCUCGAAGCGAAUGCCGCCACCACAGCCAUAGCUCUCCUUCGAAACGAUGUUCUUCAAGUCCCGCUGGUUGCCCUCCGUGUUGAUGAAAGUUAUGCCUGUAGGAAUAAUGAUGAACACGACAAGCAGUCCGAAUCGUGAUCAGAUCUCUGGUGAUUUCUGAUUUGAUUGAAGUUGUAUAUAUAUACAGCCAUAAAUGAAUCAAUGCGUGUUGAAGUGAAAUUCCGUUGUUCUUGCUCCGCUUUUCUUUCUUGGUAUCGGAGUGCUGGUUUCUGAACUCUUUCUUCUCCUUUCUUUGUGCCUUGCAUCAUGAGCUGCAGCAAAGUUGGAUUGAUCUUGCUUCAGGGAGUCACUGCCUUUGAUGGGAGGAGAGGGUUCAACACUUGGUCCGAGAAAAUGAUGCGCGUGCUGCAGAUGGAAGAACUCUGGGAAAUCGUUUCACCACCAACAAUCGCUGCAGAUGCUCGUACGCGGCGAGCCCCUGCUGUGUUGGGAGCUUCAACUUCAGUGGAAGGAGAAGUCGUGGAUGAAGAGGCAAUUCGUGCCUCUGUUGCAGCAGCUCGACAACAGCUUGAUCCAGGGGAACAAGCUGCGCUGGAGAAGAAGGAAUCUCGAGCAAAAGGAUUGAUUCUUUCUAAGCUUGCAGAUGCCCUUAUGAUGCGUUUGCGUCAUAAGUGUGCUUGUGAGAUCUGGGCUCAUCUCCACAACAAGUAUGCUGUUCUUUCCCUCUCCAAGAUUAGCAUGGUCGAGACUUGCAUUCGUGAGACCCGUUUUCAUCCAGGUGAGAACUUUGAAGAGUUCCUCGCCAAGAUGCAAGAUCUGUGGAUGGAGCUUGAAGGCAGUCCAGCAGCGUUCAACGAAAGCAAGAAAGUUCUGGCACUUUGCGAGGCCAUGCAAGAUUCUUCUUUUAGUUCUUUCGUCCCUACCGUUCGCAUGAUGUCGCUCAACUUUGAACAAGCUGAGCAAACUUUACGCUCGGAGCUGGCUGCGAGAGGUUUAAUUGUGGACUUUGAUCAGAGGCCUUCCCAUGUUUUGAUCUCACAGUCUACAUCAAAUGCUUCUGCAUCAAGCAAUCAGUCAGGGACUGAUUCAGCUCUGUGGGCUGGAAAUCAUCGAGGCAGAGGAGGCCGCGGAAGAGGAGGACAAGGCAGAGGUCGCGGGUUUAGGGGAAAUCCGCAGCAGCAGCAGAAUUCAGGGAAUUCUGGUAAAGAAGCAGCAGUUCGGGAUUGUUUUGUGGGCAAGAACAAACAGGAAUGCUGGACCUGUGGGAUGCCAGGGCACUACUCCAAGGAUUGCCCAGUUGCAGCUUGGCUGCAGCGCAUGAACAUAGGGCUCGCAGCAAAUGCUCAGGAAGGGGAAACACAGGAACUUGUGGCAUCAUCUGAGGUAGCAGUUCCAAACGUUUCUGAAAAACUGACCAUCGAUUCAGGUUCAGAGAGACACCUGAUGCAAAGCGAGUCGAACUUUGUGCAGUUGCAUGCUGCAAAAGGGAAGUGCAUUCGUGUGGGAGAUGGAAGCAUUUUACCUGUUCGCGCAACUGGGGAUGUGCGAGUUCCACUGGGAAGAAAGUCUCUGCUCUUGAAGAAUGCGUGGUAUGUUCCAAAGAUAGUGAAGAAUCUGGUUUCUGUAGCCAGGCUUACGGAUGAAGGUCUGGAUGUGAAUUUCUCCAAACAUCAAUGUCAAGUUCUUGCAAAUGGCCGUCCAUUACUGCAUUUUCCCAGAUGUGGUAACCUGUUUGAGAAGGAGAUAGCUUCUGGAGAAAAAUCGAAUGCUCCUGAGAUAUGCAUGACUGCAGAUAGUUCUCUCUGGCAUUCUCGACUUGCACAUGCCAAUCCCCCUCUCAUCAGGCGUAUGCAGAAGCAAGAGCUUGUGGAUGGCUUCAACGACCACGUUCUUCAAAGUUCAGCAAAAUGUCACACUUGCAUUCUUGGCAAGCAAACCCGUCGUACUUUCAAACCUGCUGUGACCAGAAGCACUUGUCCCUUGCAGCUCAUUCACUCAGAUGUUUGUGGACCCAUGCGACUGUUUGCUCAGAAUGGCACGAAGUAUUUUGUGACAUUUACAGAUGAUUUCUCCAGGCACACGGACGUCUUCUUUCUUCGUCACAAAGAUGAAGUCUUUAGCAAAUUCAAGCAAUUCGUAGUAGAAGCCGAAGUGAAAACUGGUCAGAGGGUUGGUUGUUUACGUACUGAUUCAGGAGGGGAAUACGUCAACAAGUCCUUUCAGCAGUUCUGUGCUGAACGAGGAAUUCUUCAUCAGCGCUCUUGCUCUCAUACCCCUCAACAGAAUGGAGUCUCUGAGCGCAAGAAUAGGACAAUCAUGAACGCAGUUCGGUGCUUCCUUCAAGAAUCAGGACUACCAAAAUUCCUCUGGGCUGAAGCAGUUGGAUCAGCUGUGCAUGUUCAAAACCUUCUCCCUCAUUCUCGCAAUCCCAACAAGAUCCCAGAAGAGCUUUGGACUGGUCAAAGACAAUCGGUGGUGCAUCUUAGGCGUUUUGGUUGUUUAAGCUUUGCAAAAAGGGUGGAUGAGCAUCUUGGCAAGUUGGAGAGCAGAAGCAAGCUGGCCUUUCUUGUUGGAUACGAUUCCAAUUCAAAAGGAUAUCGCCUGUACCAGCCUGGUAAUCAUCAAAUCUUUGUAAGCACUGAUGUUCGUUUUGAUGAAGGAACACUCUACAAAGAUCAUGUUCAAGAAGAAGGAAGCUCAGAUCAGAACAUGAACUGGACUCCGGAAGAAUGGAGUUGGGAUGGUGUUGAAGACGGUGAUGAAGAUGACGAUGAUCUGACAAUCAUCUAUCCCUCAUCUCCUUUAGCAGAUGAUCAUCCAACACCAAUCUCUGGAUCUUUUCUUCCUGAAGAACAGGGCGAUACUACUCAUCGUGCACGAACUGGAGAAGUCGACAGGCUCACACGAGAUCUACCAUUCAAUGUGGAGAACUAUGGGCGGACAUCAUCUAGACGAUCAAGCAGAGCACCUCAUCCCAAGCAAUGGUCUUUUGCAGCAACAGAAAUAGCUUCUGAACCAGUCAACUUUGAGCAGGUGAUUCAAGCUCCUGAUGCAGAUAAGUGGAUUUCAGCAAUGCAAGAUGAGUUGAAUUCUCUUGAUGAGAACCAGACUUAUGACUUGGUGGAAGCUCCUGAAGGACGUGAAGUUGUUGGAUCACGCUGGGUGUUCAAGCUUCACAGAAAUCCUGAUGGAUCAGUACAGCGUUACAAAGCAAGACUUGUUGCUCAAGGAUAUUCACAAGUUCCUGGAGUGGAUUUUGAUGAGACGUUCUCACCAAUUGUGAAGCAGACAAGUAUCAGAAUGCUUCUGGCUUUUACAGCGGAGUUUGGUUUGUGCGCACAUCACAUGGACGUAAAAACAGCCUUCCUUAAUGGGAACUUGAAGGAGGAGAUAUUUAUGCGGCAACCCCCAGGCUUUGAGCUUUUUGGAUCACGGUGCUCCGAACUCGUCUGCAAGCUUCGCAAGGCUCUUUAUGGCCUUAAGCAAGCUUCCCGUCAGUGGUAUGAAUGUUUGGAUUCUUUUCUUAUGGAUCUCGGUAUGCAGAGGUUGAACAGCGAUGGAAAUCUAUAUCUUCUUAGCAACAAUCACACUGUUUUGAAGGAUGUGAAGAUCAAGCUUAUGAACAGGUUUGUGAUGAAGGACUUAGGAGCUGUGCGGCAGCUGUUAGGGAUGGAAGUUGACAGGGAUGAAGCAGACAGGACAAUCACCCUCACACAGUGCCAAUAUGUGAAGAAGCUUCUCAACCAGUUCAACAUGACAAGUUGCAAAUCCGUGGCUACACCAGUCGUCACUGGCAUCAAGUUCACAAGCAAGAUGGAUGAUUUAUUUGAUCAGCCCUCGGUCUAUCGAUCGCUUGUUGGAGGACUACUCUACCUCGCCAACAUGACUCGCCCUGACAUCUCCUUUGCCGUUGGUCUCCUCAGCCGAUACAUGCAGUCUCCGAGUUGUUAUCAUUGGCAGAUGGCGAAGAGAGUUUUGAGAUAUUUGAAAGGAACAGCUGCUCAUGGAUUGGUUUACAAAUGCUCAGGUCAAUCCAAACUUGUUCUUCAAGCUUACUGCGAUGCAGAUUGGGCUGGCAACUUGGAUACACGACAUUCAACCUCCGGAAUUUGCUGCAUAAUUGCUGGUGCUCCGGUUUCAUGGGGAAGCAAGAAGCAAACGACGGUUGCUCUUUCCAGUGUAGAAGCAGAAUACGUAGCUGCCAGUACAGCAGCAAGGGAGAUCAUCUGGCUUCGUCGAUUACUUGGAGAACUCAAUCAACAGCAAUCAGAUGCGACCAUUCUGCAUUGCGACAGCAGAAGUGCAAUCGCCAUGUCAAAGAAUCCUGUGUUUCAUGCUCGUACGAAACAUAUAGACGUGCAGCAUCACUUCAUUCGCGAACAUGUAGCAGCCAGAGAUCUUCACCUGGAAUACGUUCCUUCACAGUAUCAGUUGGCGGACCUUCUAACCAAGCCACUUUCGGAGCUCACAUUCAUCAAGCUGAGGAAUCAACUUGGAGUGUCAAGCACACCCUCAGCUUGAAGGGGGAGUGUAGGAAUAAUGAUGAACACGACAAGCAGUCCGAAUCGUGAUCAGAUCUCUGGUGAUUUCUGAUUUGAUUGAAGUUGUAUAUAUAUACAGCCAUAAAUGAAUCAAUGCGUGUUGAAGUGAAAUUCCGUUGUUCUUGCUCCGCUUUUCUUUCUAUGCCGAAGCCUCGCGAGGCCAGAGCUCUUGAGAGGUGGAGGAGUGGGGAGAUGUGGCCUUGGGUUGGAAUGGGAAGAACCGCUGCGUGAGGAGCGAGCCUCCUGGCACCAGUCGAAGAGCCCAUUGACGGAGAAAAGGAAAAGCUAAACAGUUCUCAAGCUUUUACUUCUUGUGUGCUCUCACGACGAAGGCAAAACAGGCUGGAUCCAGUGCUCCACAUUGUGCUAUCGUCAACUUAUAAGCUACCACCCAAAAUGUUCAAAGAUUGAAAGUUCUUCACCUUUGCUACUCUUCCAUUGCUUGGUGCCUUGAGGACGAGGAUGGAAAUUCUGGCCUGGCAAAGUAAAGCCUGGAAUCCAUUUGCUUAGUGCUUGUGUGUACACGAUCAAAGAGAGAACUGAAUUGCUGCUGUCUUGUUUCCAUCAUCAUACCAAGAGAAAAAGUGCUAAACAGCGAAACAGCUGGCCAAGGAAAAACGACAGACAACCGAAUCGAACUACAGACCAUCUUUAUAUUAUAUAAUAUAAUGUUUAUUUAAAUUUUCUAAGUAAAAAAUAAUAACUGAUCUUUUUGAACAACUUAUCAAAGAAACAUUAUUUUAAUAAAGAAUGAAAUUUAUUUUGAAAUCUCAUGAGCAACAUAAAUGAAAAAAUAGGUAUUAUGAAUAGUUAUCCUGCAUGAUAAAAUAUUCAGACAAAAAUAAUUGUAUAAAUAAUAAAAUUAAAAAAGAAUAUAUUCAUAGACAAAGAACCUAGGUUGGAAUUUUUCUGGACCGCCAGUGCCUCUUGCGUUUUGCUCGAUUGCUCGUUUCCGCGAAUGCUGGAGAAGGGAGACGUUCCAGUCCAAGGUAAAGCUUCUUUCUUCUUUUUUAUUUGUCCUUCUUUCGAGAAGCACUAACGUGUUCCGCCAGAUCGUUCCAUUGAAAAGUACAUCACUUACGUAGACGGCUUGUCACCACUGCCAAUCUGGGGCCUCCCGCGCGACCUUUCUGCCAUUGACGAAUCAAGAUUCGCUCGCAGAUACGCUAGAGCCAAGAGCUUCGCCACAACAUCGUGGGUUUUGGUCAACUCGUUCGAAGAACUCGAGGGCAGUGCCACCUUCCAAGCCCUCCGAGACAUCUCUCCCAAAACAAUCGCAGUGGGUCCUCUUUUCACCAUGGCCCCCGGCUGCAACAAGGCAAGCUUGUGGAAGGAAGACACCGAGAGUUUAUCCUGGCUCGGCAAGCAAAGUCCCGGCUCGGUUCUCUACAUUUCCUUGGGCAGCAUCGCCACUCUCAGCUUCGAUCAGUUCAAGGAGUUCUCCGAGGGACUGAGGCUUCUCCAGCGUCCGUUUAUCUGGGCCAUCCGACCCAAGUCGGUCGCCGGCAUGG